Molecule: ribosomal RNA, 800 nt
Filed under: uncultured bacterium
Lineage: Bacteria
Description: bacterial SSU rRNA
Rfam family: Bacterial small subunit ribosomal RNA
Source: RNAcentral
CAGGCCUAACACAUGCAAGUCGAGGGGCAGCAUAAAACAAGCUUGCUUGUUUGGUGGCGACCGGCGCACGGGUGCGUAACGCGUAUGCAACCUACCCUGUACUGGGGGAUAGCCCGGAGAAAUUCGGAUUAAGACCCCAUAGUACUUAAGAUGGCAUCAUUCAUAAGUUAAAGGUUACGGUACAGGAUGGGCAUGCGUCCCAUUAGCUAGAUGGUAAGGUAACGGCUUACCAUGGCAACGAUGGGUAGGGGGCCUGAGAGGGUGGUCCCCCACACUGGUACUGAGACACGGACCAGACUCCUACGGGAGGCAGCAGUGAGGAAUAUUGGGCAAUGGAGGCAACUCUGACCCAGCCAUGCCGCGUGCAGGAAGACGGCCCUCUGGGUUGUAAACUGCUUUUGUUUGGGAAUAAACCCUUCUACGUGUAGGAGGCUGAAGGUACCUUACGAAUAAGCAUCGGCUAACUCCGUGCCAGCAGCCGCGGUAAUACGGAGGAUGCAAGCGUUAUCCGGAUUUAUUGGGUUUAAAGGGUCCGUAGGCGGAUCUUUAAGUCAGUGGUGAAAGCCCACAGCUCAACUGUGGAACUGCCAUUGAUACUGGAGAUCUUGAGUGUAGUAGAAGUAGGCGGAAUAGGGCAUGUAGCGGUGAAAUGCAUAGAUAUGCCCUAGAACGCCGAUUGCGAAGGCAGCUUACUAUGUUACAACUGACGCUGAGGGACGAAAGCGUGGGGAGCAAACAGGAUUAGAUACCCUGGUAGUCCACGCCGUAAACGGUGGGCGCUAGAUGUGGGAACCUUUCCA